RNAcentral lists this long non-coding RNA (840 nucleotides) under Nicotiana benthamiana. RNAcentral's name for it is "long non-coding RNA (NBEN_LNC017541)". The record is from RNAcentral. Lineage: Eukaryota; Viridiplantae; Streptophyta; Magnoliopsida; Solanales; Solanaceae.
AUUAGUGUGGACAUUGAAAGACAUAGAGUCUGGAUUAAACUGAGAAGGGGACUGGACUUGUCUCUGCUUCUCAUCAUUGAGGACCAUAUUAUAGACAGUGUCAAGGGUUGGAGGUGGCUGCAUCAUCAAUGGAUUACUCCUUACCCCCAUGUAUGCUUCAUUAAGGCCCAUUAAAAACUGAAAUACCUUAUUUUCAUCAUUUUCCUGUAUUAUACCAUUUUUGGCAGCACAAACACAUCUCCGCCCAUGAUUGGUACACAUUGAUUCUAAUUCGUCCCACAAACUUUUGAGUUUAUUAAAAUAUGAAGCUACAUCUAGGGACCCUUGAGAGGUGUGAGAAAGCUCUAUUUUCAAUUCAAAAAUUUUGGUCAUGUUUGCAGUGCCAUAUCUGGCCUGAAGUUGGGACCAUAUACUCUGUGCAGUAUCAGAAUACUGCACACUUUCAGCAAUUUGAGGGGAGAGGGAGGUCUGGCCUGAAGUUGGGACCAUAUACUCUGUGCACUAUCAGAAUACUGACCACUUUCAGCAAUUUGAGGGGAGAGGGAGGCAGUUAACCAGGAAAUCACCAUAUUAUUGCACAUGUCCCAUAACCUUUGUUGAGCCACAUUAGUGACUGGCCGGGAGCACGUGCCAUCAACAAAGCCAAUUUUGUUUUUAGCAAAUAACGCGACAAUCAUUUUUCUCCUCCAACUCCCAUAACCACUGCCCGAGAAGGGAGUGGGGACAAGAGAGACCCCAGGGACAUCAGAGGAGUAAACAAAAAGGGGGAUGGUAGAAUCUACCGAGGAGGUACUAGCAUUCGUAUUAGAAGCCAUGAUUAAUGAACCAGUUUGAAAGGAA